GUUCACACUGCAUUACCUCUUUCUGGUCCAGACGAUACAAUCUCCCCUCCCCCCACGCCUCCCAACUGUCUAAUCGCGUACUUCCUGGGGAAAUCAAGCCGCAUUCAUAACCGAAAUAAUUUCAUGGAGUCACAGAGUUCUACAACCACAGAAACAGGCCAAUGAGUUGAGCAAUCACCAACAGCCGAGCCUCUGUACUUCGCUCUGCAAUUGGAUCCUCAGAUUCCUCGCUGGGAGACUAUAAUCAGUGAGGAUCAGAAGUAUCAUCUUCUCCUCACCACCAUCAAUACAGGGGCACCUCAGGGCUGUGUGCUCAGCACCCUGCUCAAUUCUCCACACCUAAACAUAGCUUCAUCUCAAAAGCUGCUGAUGAUACCAUGGUUGUGGGCAGAAUUGUGGCUGAUCAGGCAGCAUACAGGAAUAGGUCAACAACAGCCUUGCACUCAACAGCAUGUAUCCAACUGACCUAUUCCUGUAUGCUGCCUGACCAGCCACAAUUCUGCCCACAACCAUGGUGUCAGCAGCAAGAUCAAGGAUAUGACCAUGGACUUUAGGGAGGGGAUUUUGGAGAAUCACACACCAGUUCUCAUUUGAGGUUCUGCAAUGCAAAAAGUGAACAGCUUCAAGUUCCUGGGUGUCAACAUCCUGAGCCCAGCAUAUACAAACAGCUAUGAUGAUGAUACGCUGGUGCUUGUACUCCCUUAGAAGUUUUAAGAUAUCAUCGAAGAUUCUGGCAAACUACUUGAGAUGUACAAUGGAAAGUAUUUUGACUGGUUGCAUCAAAAUCUGCAAAAGUAGCUUCAAAGCACAGGAACACAAGAGGCUACAAGCAGUGGUGUAUUCAGCCAAUUCAAAGUCAAAAUCGGGUUUACUGUCAUAUGCACAAGAAUAUACAGGUGCAAUGAUAAACUUACUUGUAGUAGUAUUAUAAGCACAGAACAUUCAAGACAAAAUAUUCACACGAGAAAAACAUAAAGCAAGCAUAAAUCAUACAAGAAAGAACACCAUUGGAACAAAAUAAGAAUACAUGAUCCAAUGCAGAACGAAGUGGUCAUAGUGUUGCCUUACUGAGUGAUUUGGUAUGUGCAGGUUGGUUCAAGAACUGAAUGGUUUAAGGGAAAUGUGCUGGAGAAGCUCAGCAGGUCAGGCAGUAUCUAUGGAUGGGAAUAAGCAGUUGAAGAGGUUUUCUAUUUCAAUUUCUCUGUUAUACUUUUAUUAAUCGUAAAACAUAUAAAUACAUGUAAAUAAGCAACAGGACUCAUCCUUUUUCUUGAAAAAAGUUCAUAACUAUUGUUACUAAUUCCUUAAUCAAUGAUAAUCUCAGCUCAGAAUUACAAUGGCACAGGAGACAUUUUUUAAAUAGAUUAUCACCAAUUUAGGCACAUGUUCUUAAAAAGGUGAGCCAUUCUUGGCCAAGGGCAUGUCAUCUUAUGUGUUAACACCCAGGAUUUCAAAACUGCUGACACUCUCCACAGCCAAUCCACCAAUAUAGACUGGCACAUGUUCACCCUUCCUGAGUAAACAAUCAGUUCUUUAACAUCAUCGGCGUUAAGUGAGAGCUUGUUGAUGCAGCACCAUUCAGCCAAGUGUCCUGCACACUGACUCAUCACCGCUUGUGAUUCAUUCAGCAACAGUGGUGUUGUCAGCAAAUUUCUGUAUGCCUUUGGAGUUGUGCUUAGCCACGCAGUCGUAUGUGAAGAACAUAGAACAACACAGCACAGUACAGGCUGUUCGGCUCACAAUGUUGUGCUGACUCUUUAACCUACUGUAUGGUCAAUCUAAAACAUUCCUCAAACAUACCCUUCCAUUUAUCUUUCAACCAUGUGCCUAUCUAAGGGUUCCUUAAAUGUCUCUAAUAUAUCUGGCAAUGCCUUCCACACACCUCCCACUCUCUGUGUAAAAACCUACCUCUGACAUUCCUCCAAAACUUAAUACUAAAACCUCAUAUUAGCCAUUUCCAUCCUGGGAAAAGAAUAUCUCUGGCUGCCCACUCUGUCUAUGCCACUUAUCAUCUUGUGCACUUCUAUCGACCUCUCAUCCUCCUUCACUCCAAAGAGAAAAGCCCUAGCUUGCUCAACCUGCAAAGAGAGUAGAGCAGGGGGCUAAGCAUACUGCCUUAAGGUGCACAUGUAUUGUUAGUCAUUGAGGAGGAGAGCUCAUUACCAAUCUGCUGAUAAGGAAGUUAAGAAUCUAGUUGCAGAGAGAGCUACAGAGGUCCAUGUCUUGAAACCUGAUGAUCAGUUUGAAUGGGUUGAUUGUGUUGAACACAGAGCUGUAGUCAAUAACCAGCAGCCUGACAUAUGACGAAUAUGACAUAGUCCUGACGAAGGGUCUCAGCCUGAAACAUCGACAGUGCUUCUCCUUAUAGAUGCUGCCUGGCCUGCUGUGUUCCACCGGCAUUUUGUGUGUGUUGCCUGACAUAAUGUGUUUCUGUUGCCCAGCUGGUACAGAAGAGAGUGAAAAUUCAGAUCUAUUGCAUCUGCAGCUGACCAGUUGUGGAAUGGGCAAAUUGAAACAGAUCCAGGUACGGCUCUUCCCACCUUCAAGGACAUCUACAAGAGGCGAUGUCUCACGAAGGCAGCAUCCACCAUCAAGGACCCCACUAACUAGGCCAAACUCUCUUCUCGAUGUUGCAUUAGGCAGGAGGCACAGGAGCCUGAAGACCCUCACCUCAAGGUUUAACAACAGCUCCUUCCCCAUUGCUAUUAGGUUCUUAAACUGACCUGAAAGAUCUUAACACUAGCUUAGGCUUUAUAUUUUGUUCUUCCUCCCAGACUUGCACAGGUGUCAUUGUGUUUAUUUUGUUUAGUGUAUAUAUGCAUACGUUAUACAUAAAUUAUGCUAAUGUAAGUUUAAACUAAUUUAUGUUUGUCCUUUGAAUACACUGUUACUGCUGCAAAACAACUAAUUUCCAUAGUAUUUGUACUCUAUUUAUGAAUGCUGAUGACAAUAAAGUUGUAUUUGAACUUG
Molecule: long non-coding RNA, 2970 nt
Organism: Hypanus sabinus (Atlantic stingray)
Lineage: Eukaryota; Metazoa; Chordata; Chondrichthyes; Myliobatiformes; Dasyatidae
Exons: 2
Source: RefSeq, a predicted model, not a curated record